AGAGUUUGAUCAUGGCUCAGAUUGAACGCUGGCGGUAGGCUUAACACAUGCAAGUCGAGCGGAAACGAAGAAUAGCUUGCUAUUCUGGCGUCGAGCGGCGGACGGGUGAGUAAUGCUUGGGAAUCUGCCUAGUCGAGGGGGACAACAGUUGGAAACGACUGCUAAUACCGCAUACGACCUACGGGUGAAAGGGGGCCUCUUCUUGAAAGCUCUCGCGACUAGAUGAGCCCAAGUGGGAUUAGCUUGUUGGUGAGGUAAGAGCUCACCAAGGCGACGAUCCCUAGCUGGUCUGAGAGGAUGAUCAGCCACACUGGAACUGAGACACGGUCCAGACUCCUACGGGAGGCAGCAGUGGGGAAUAUUGCACAAUGGGCGAAAGCCUGAUGCAGCCAUACCGCGUGUAUGAAGAAGGCCUUAGGGUUGUAAAGUACUUUCAGCGAGGAGGAAAGGUGAUAAAUUAAUACUUUAUCACUGUGACGUUACUCGCCGAAGAAGCACCGGCUAACUCCGUGGCAGCAGCCGCGGUGAUACGGAGGGUGCAAGCGUUAAUCGGAAUUACUGGGCGUAAAGCGCAUGCAGGCGGUUUGUUAAGCGAGAUGUGAAAGACCCGGGAUCAACCUGGGAACUGCAUUUCGAACUGGUAAACUAAAGUUCUUGAGAGGGUGGUAGAAUUUCAGGUGUAGCGGUGAAAUGCGUAAGAAUCUGAAGGAAUACCAGUGGCGAAAGCGGCCACCUGGCAAGUAACUGACGCUCAAAUGCGAAAGCGUGGGUAGCAAACGGGAUUAGAUACCCCGGUAGUCCACGCCGUAAACGAUGUCUACUCGGAGUCUGGUCCCUUGAGGACUGGGCUCUUAAGCUAACGCAUUAAGUAGACCGCCUGGGGAGUACGGCCGCAAGGUUAAAACUCAAAUGAAUUGACGGGGGCCCGCACAAGCGGUGGAGCAUGUGGUUUAAUUCGAUGCAACGCGAAGAACCUUACCUACUCUUGACAUC
RNAcentral lists this ribosomal RNA (993 nucleotides) under Moritella sp. enrichment culture clone 1423a. RNAcentral describes it as "bacterial SSU rRNA". It matches the Rfam family "Bacterial small subunit ribosomal RNA", at positions 8 to 988 of the family's 1533-position model. The record is from RNAcentral. Lineage: Bacteria; Pseudomonadati; Pseudomonadota; Gammaproteobacteria; Alteromonadales; Moritellaceae.